This 350-nucleotide RNase P RNA is filed under the name Paludibacteraceae bacterium. RNAcentral's name for it is "RNase P RNA component class A". It matches the Rfam family "Bacterial RNase P class A". From Rfam's summary of the family: Ribonuclease P (RNase P) is a ubiquitous endoribonuclease, found in archaea, bacteria and eukarya as well as chloroplasts and mitochondria. Its best characterised activity is the generation of mature 5'-ends of tRNAs by cleaving the 5'-leader elements of precursor-tRNAs. The record is from RNAcentral. Lineage: Bacteria; Pseudomonadati; Bacteroidota; Bacteroidia; Bacteroidales; Paludibacteraceae.
GUAGUAGGCGGGUUUGUCGCUGGCGAAAGUCAGAGGAAAGUCCGGGCAACACAGGGCGCUGUGCUUCCUAACGGGAAGUUGUUCGUGAGAGCAAACGAUUGUAGAAGAAAAUAACCGCCCGUUUUACGGGUAAGGGUGAGAAGGCGGGGUAAGAGCCCACCAUCUUGGUGGUGACAUCAAGAGUUGUACAAGUCACAGGUUGCAAAAUCAAAUAUACCGACGCAGUAGGGUGGCCCGUCCGAUGUCGGGGGGUAGAUUGCUCGAAACACGUGGUGACGCGUGUUCUAGAUAAAUGACAAACAUCUGCUUUUGGGCAGAUACAGAACUCGGCUUAUACGCCUACUACUUUU